This is a long non-coding RNA of Panicum virgatum (switchgrass), 617 nucleotides long. RefSeq lists it as uncharacterized. The transcript is spliced from 2 exons. Lineage: Eukaryota; Viridiplantae; Streptophyta; Magnoliopsida; Poales; Poaceae. The record is from RefSeq and is a predicted model, not a curated record.
AAUGGCUCCAAUUCUUUUUCAUCUGGGCCCAUUUCGCCGUAGCGCUCGUCGACGCCCCCACAUUGGCGGCGCGUCGUCGCCGGCACCGGCAGCGCUUGCCGCUCGCCACCUCACAAGGCUCGCUGCACUGCCAGGAUUUACCUCCUCCGGCUCCGAAACAGUACUCAACGAGGGACCUUGGAGGCAGCGCCGCGGCGCGCGUUGAGCCGAGCACUCACUGCGGCUGAGUCAUUCGACCCGGCGGCGGCGGCGGCGCGGCGCCCGCACCGCCUGCCAGGCAGGCUUCCGAAGGCAGUUGCCUCCUUCCGUGCAGGGUGGAGAUAAUGCGUUUAUGUGAAUGGAUGGGUGCCUGCAACUUCCUCCAGCUUUAUGAUGAUAAUGUAUGAACUUCCUAUGCUACUAAUUGAUUCUCUUUUGCAUUUAACUUUAUAGUGAAGCUAUCGCUCAUUUUGUCCAUUGUGUUCUUUUACUGAGGCUAAGCUGUUUAUGCAAAUCAUUUAGCUUCUGUUUUCUGUAGUUCCGGUGAUGUUUCUAAAUAUGGUUUGAUAUGCUAAAAUAGUUGAAGCAGGGGAUGAACCUCCUUCCUCAAAUAUAAUUGAUAUAUUAGGUUUGCGAGA